RNAcentral lists this ribosomal RNA (253 nucleotides) under uncultured bacterium. Its description in RNAcentral is "partial 16S ribosomal RNA". It matches the Rfam family "Bacterial small subunit ribosomal RNA", at positions 524 to 776 of the family's 1533-position model. The record is from RNAcentral.
UACGUAGGGCGCAAGCGUUGUCCGGAGUUACUGGGCGUAAAGCGCACGCAGGCGGUCUGCUAAGUUUGGAGUGACAGUUGGUGGCUUAACUGCCAAAGUGCUUCGAAAACUGACAGACUUGAGGGCUUCAGAGGGACACGGAAUUCCGGGUGGAGUGGUGAAAUGCGUAGAGAUCCGGAGGAACACCAAAGGCGAAGGCAGUGUCCUGGGGAGUACCUGACGCUCAGGUGCGAAAGCCAGGGGAGCGAACGGG